This 426-nucleotide ribosomal RNA is filed under the name uncultured bacterium. RNAcentral describes it as "bacterial SSU rRNA". It matches the Rfam family "Bacterial small subunit ribosomal RNA", at positions 356 to 773 of the family's 1533-position model. The record is from RNAcentral.
GGGGAAUUGUUCGCAAUGGGCGCAAGCCUGACGACGCAACGCCGCGUGGAGGACGAAGAUCUUCGGGUCGUAAACUCCUGUCGAGCGGGAAGAACGCUUCCCGGGUGAAUAAUCCGGGGAGGUGACGGUACCGCUAAAGGAAGCCCCGGCUAACUCCGUGCCAGCCGCCGCGGUAAUACGUAGGUGACGAGCGUUAUCCGGAAUUAUUGGGCGUAAAGCGCCCGCAGGCGGCUGUUCAAGUCUGACGUGAAAUCGCUCGGCUUAACUGGGCGGGGUCGUUGGAAACUGAAUAGCUUGAGGCAAGGAGAGGGGCGUGGAAUUCCCGGUGUAGUGGUGGAAUGCGUAGAUAUCGGGAGGAACAUCAGUGGCGCAAGCGGCGCCCUGGCCUUAGCCUGACGCUCAGGGGCGAAAGCGUGGGGAGCGAAC